Molecule: ribosomal RNA, 253 nt
Filed under: uncultured bacterium
Lineage: Bacteria
Description: partial 16S ribosomal RNA
Rfam family: Bacterial small subunit ribosomal RNA
Source: RNAcentral
UACGUAGGGGGCAAGCGUUGUCCGGAAUCAUUGGGCGUAAAGCGCGUGUAGGCGGCCCGAUAAGUCCGCUGUGAAAGUCCAGGGCUCAACCCUGGAAUGCCGGUGGAUACUGUCGGGCUCGAGUCCGGAAGAGGCGAGUGGAAUUCCUGGUGUAGCGGUGAAAUGCGCAGAUAUCAGGAGGAACACCAAUGGCGAAGGCAGCUCGCUGGGACGGUACUGACGCUGAGACGCGAAAGCGUGGGGAACAAACAGG